UACGAAGGAUCCAAGCGUUAUCCGGAUUUAUUGGGUUUAAAGGGUGCGUAGGCGGCCUAUUAAGUCAGUGGUGAAAGCCUGAUGCUCAACAUCAGAACUGCCAUUGAUACUGAUGGGCUUGAAUACACUUGAGGAGGGCGGAAUGUGUCAUGUAGCGGUGAAAUGCUUAGAUAUGACACAGAACACCGAUUGCGAAGGCAGCUCUCUAAGGUGUUAUUGACGCUGAGGCACUAAAGCGUGGGGAGCAAACAGG
This 253-nucleotide ribosomal RNA is filed under the name uncultured bacterium. Its description in RNAcentral is "partial 16S ribosomal RNA". It matches the Rfam family "Bacterial small subunit ribosomal RNA", at positions 524 to 776 of the family's 1533-position model. The record is from RNAcentral.